UAACAGCACUCUUCCUGCCCAGGCACAAAACACUAACUACCCUAUGAAAGGGGCCAUAACUAUAUUCUGUGACUCAAGGCAUUUCCCAGCCUGCAGUUCCUAUACCCCUUCUCAGUUCAAACACUUUAAGAAUCACUUGAAGACCUUAUUACAGAUUCUGAUUCCGUAGAACUGAAGGGAAGCCAAGGAUUUUACAUUUCACAGAAGAUUCCUGGUGAUGUUGAUGCUUCUGGCCCAGGGACUACACUUUGAGUAGCAACGGCCAAGAUGAUCUCAGAACUUCUUUCAAACCCUGCUACACUCUGAAGUCAUUUCUAUUUGUUUCCCCCAUUACAUGGCUUAAAUAAACGUACAUAAACAUUGUACAUAAUAUAAGAAGGUUAAACUUUCAUUAAAUUGUCUCUUCAGGAAAGAGGGAGAGUUGUACCAUCUUUGUGCCCCUAACCCACAGUGUUCUGCCGUAUGAAUAACUGAUACUGCAUGGCAUUGGAUAAAUGAAUUACUGAGCUUAGAUGGAGACUGAGGAAAAGACUGCAGAAUAAUACAAUGAAAACUUCAUGAAUAUCAUAGUAAACAUUCUUCCUGAAGAGUUGGCCUUGCUCCCUUAGCAGACUCUGUGCCCAUUGGAAUAGCAUGUUUUUUGCUAAACCUUUGCUUACACUUCAACGCACAUCCUUGCCUCAGGGACGUCACCUGAUUAAGAUUUAGUAUCUUAAUCUUGGGAAUGGGCUUCAUUUACGAGGAAGGCAAGGCCAUUCAAUUCCAAUUAACUGCACAGUUCUUGUGUAAAAAACAACCUUAAACUUUUAGACUAUUUAAAGAAUAGCAGAAGCCCCCACCCUUACUUUUUCAUAAAACAGAAUUGUCCUGACAUGGCUUUCCUGUUCUUUUGAGUCAAUAGGCUCAAAUAACUUAAAAAUAGAUGUUGGUUUUACAUUUAUCAUUUGAACAAACAUGGGAAAUACAGAAAUAAUUGCUAUGGAAUUCCGGGUAUAGUUUUUCCAUCUCUACAAUUGGCGAGGUGGUUCUUAGAGAACAGUAGACUACGUAAAUGCAUGUGCUGGGGAUGUGCUAGCAUCUAGCCUCGUAAGACAUAAUGUCAUCUGAGGCUAAUCUCACUCGGAGG
Molecule: long non-coding RNA, 1126 nt
Filed under: Papio anubis (olive baboon)
Lineage: Eukaryota; Metazoa; Chordata; Mammalia; Primates; Cercopithecidae
Description: lncRNA (ENSPANG00000040627.1)
Source: RNAcentral